Molecule: ribosomal RNA, 484 nt
Filed under: uncultured bacterium
Lineage: Bacteria
Description: partial 16S ribosomal RNA
Rfam family: Bacterial small subunit ribosomal RNA
Source: RNAcentral
AUUGAACGCUGGCGGCAGGCCUAACACAUGCAAGUCGAGCGGAUGAAGGGAGCUUGCUCCUGGAUUCAGCGGCGGACGGGUGAGUAAUGCCUAGGAAUCUGCCUGGUAGUGGGGGAUAACGUCCGGAAACGGGCGCUAAUACCGCAUACGUCCUGAGGGAGAAAGUGGGGGAUCUUCGGACCUCACGCUAUCAGAUGAGCCUAGGUCGGAUUAGCUAGUUGGUGGGGUAAAGGCCUACCAAGGCGACGAUCCGUAACUGGUCUGAGAGGAUGAUCAGUCACACGGGAACUGAGACACGGUCCAGACUCCUACGGGAGGCAGCAGUGGGGAAUAUUGGACAAUGGGCGAAAGCCUGAUCCAGCCAUGCCGCGUGUGUGAAGAAGGUCUUCGGAUUGUAAAGCACUUUAAGUUGGGAGGAAGGGCAGUAAGUUAAUACCUUGCUGUCUUGACGUUACCAACAGAAUAAGCACCGGCUAACUUCGUG